CACGUAGAGUGCGAGCGUUGUCCGGAAUUAUUGGGCGUAAAGAGCUCGUAGGCGGUGUGUCGCGUCGGCCGUGAAAACCUGCAGCUUAUCUGUGGGCUUGCGGUCGAUACGGGCAUCACUGGAGUUCGGCAGGGGAGACUGGAAUUCAUGGUGUAGCAGUGAAAUGCGUAGAGAUCAUGAGGAAGACCAGUGGCGAAGGCGGGUCUCUGGACAGUUCCUGACACUGAGACACGAAGGCCAGGGGAGCAAACGGG
Molecule: ribosomal RNA, 254 nt
Filed under: uncultured bacterium
Lineage: Bacteria
Description: partial 16S ribosomal RNA
Rfam family: Bacterial small subunit ribosomal RNA
Source: RNAcentral